AGCAAACCACUGGCCGACCCGCCACCGGCAUGCAAUCAAGAUGAAAAGAAGUAAAAGGAACUCGGCAAACACCAACCCCGCCUGUUUACCGUACACAUCGCUUCUAGCAUUUCUAGUGUUAGAGUCCUGCCCUCUUCUCCACGCCCGGUAGAAACGGGCCGUGUAAACACGCUGAUUGAGAAGCACCAAGGAGCCUCCUCUUCAGCCAGCCCGCGUCUCUGCGCAUGGCUGCCCACGGGAUCCGAGAACAGGGGCUUCGUGCCCAGCGGUUCUGCCUUUAAACCGGAGACGUAGCUGGCUCCCAGAAGUCAUCCUUCCUGGGCCAAGGAGCAACCAAUAAAGGGCCAGCAAUUUUCCAAGUCCUGUCAGCGGUUGGAGGAAUGCUUUGAGAACAUCUGUUUUAUUAACAGCGGCAACAAUAAAAGCCGAUCCCGUGUUUGUAGAGGAGCUGCCUUCUCAGGGCUUCGCAAGAACGAAAAUCAAUUAAAGUGGCCCAGUGAGGAAAUCGUGGGAUCCAGGCUCAAAGUUACAAGGUGGGUUCCCUUCUCUGUCUUUCCCAGUCGAUUGCCCUUGAGUAAUUUCUUUAACUCCUGAACCUAUUUUUCCAGUGCAAAAUGGUGAUUAAAUGCCUUCUUUUGGAUGUUGUUAGGUCACCUAGAUGACGUAGAGUCACAAAAUCUGGGAUGCGCCAACCGUGGCUUACCGUAAGGUCUUGGUGAGUCCUGGAAACUUGGGUGGAAUACAGGUUCUGAAAGCCAAGUUGAGAGAUUUUGUGGAGAAAUCGGAG
This is a long non-coding RNA of Lynx canadensis (Canada lynx), 787 nucleotides long. RefSeq lists it as uncharacterized. The transcript has 3 exons. NCBI's taxonomy places the organism in Eukaryota, Metazoa, Chordata, Mammalia, Carnivora, Felidae. The record is from RefSeq and is a predicted model, not a curated record.